UAGGCGACCGGGUGAGUAACACGUGACUAACCUACCCUAAAGUGGGGAAUAACCUCGGGAAACCGGGGCUAAUACCGCAUAACAUUGCGCGGCUGAAAGGCCAUGCAUUCAAAGGAGCAAUUCGCUUUAGGAGGGGGUCGCGGUUGAUUAGCUAGUUGGUGGGGUAAUGGCCCACCAAGGCGAUGAUCAAUAGCCGGCCUGAGAGGGCGCACGGCCACACUGGAACUGAAACACGGUCCAG
Molecule: ribosomal RNA, 241 nt
Filed under: uncultured bacterium
Lineage: Bacteria
Description: partial 16S ribosomal RNA
Rfam family: Bacterial small subunit ribosomal RNA
Source: RNAcentral